ACCAUGGAUUUUUUAAAAUCCAAAAUUCAGUGCCUAAAACAAGAUUU
Non-coding RNA from Aptenodytes forsteri (emperor penguin), 47 nucleotides. The record is from Rfam. NCBI's taxonomy places the organism in Eukaryota, Metazoa, Chordata, Aves, Sphenisciformes, Spheniscidae.